UUUGGGAUAACCCUCGGAAACGGGGGCUAAUACCGAAUAUUACUGCUGGUCGCAUGGCUGGUGGUGGAAAGUUUUUCGGCUUGGGAUGGGCUCGCGGCCUAUCAGCUUGUUGGUGGGGUGAUGGCCUACCAAGGCGACGACGGGUAGCCGGCCUGAGAGGGCGACCGGCCACACUGGGACUGAGACACGGCCCAGACUCCUACGGGAGGCAGCAGUGGGGAAUAUUGCACAAUGGGCGGAAGCCUGAUGCAGCGACGCCGCGUGAGGGAUGACGGCCUUCGGGUUGUAAACCUCUUUCAGCAGGGACGAAGCGUAAGUGACGGUACCUGCAGAAGAAGCACCGGCCAACUACGUGCCAGCAGCCGCGGUAAGACGUAGGGUGCGAGCGUUGUCCGGAUUUAUUGGGCGUAAAGAGCUCGUAGGCGGCUUGUCGCGUCGACCGUGAAAACUUGGGGCUCAACUCCAAGCCUGCGGUCGAUACGGGCAGGCUAGAGUUCGGUAGGGGAGACUGGAAUUCCUGGUGUAGCGGUGAAAUGCGCAGAUAUCAGGAGGAACACCGGUGGCGAAGGCGGGUCUCUGGGCCGAUACUGACGCUGAGGAGCGAAAGCGUGGGGAGCGAACAGGAUUAGAUACCCUGGUAGUCCACGCUGUAAACGUUGGGCGCUAGGUGUGGGGAGCCUCUCCGGUUCUCUGUGCCGCAGCUAACGCAUUAAGCGCCCCGCCUGGGGAGUACGGCCGCAAGGCUAAAACU
RNAcentral lists this ribosomal RNA (751 nucleotides) under Micromonospora profundi. RNAcentral's name for it is "bacterial SSU rRNA". It matches the Rfam family "Bacterial small subunit ribosomal RNA", at positions 137 to 901 of the family's 1533-position model. The record is from RNAcentral. Lineage: Bacteria; Bacillati; Actinomycetota; Actinomycetes; Micromonosporales; Micromonosporaceae.